AGACCACCUGCCCUCAAAAGAUUUGUUUUCUAGAGAAACAAAGCAAAAUCUAGGUGCUGCAAGAAAAGUCACAGCCUUGGGGUUUCAGUGAAGAGACAGCCCAAAUGCUCUUGAAGUAGUCAGAAAAGUCUACAGGGUGUGACUCCCUUAUGCCGCUCUCUCCUGCCAUUUGGGCAACAGCCAACUUCCGAGGCCAACCUUGUUUCUGGAGAAGCAUUCUUCCCACAUGGGAAAGGCAAGGAUGGUGCUGAGCCUGGUCUGCCUCUGUGUUCCCUGGACAACUCCAUUCCAGUGCAAGAUUCUCAUGGUUGAAUUCAUGAUUUUAAGUGCUGUUUGUGGGGUUUUGAGCAGUUGCCAUUCUGAGGAGGAGCAGAGGAGCAUGGCUUUGCCAAAGGUGUCUCCCAAUUAUGAGCACCAUCUGCAAGAGUCCACUUGGAAAAUACUCAAGGAGUGGGCUUCUAUGACUUCUGCCUUGCCCUGGAGGUCCAAUACAGGU
This 496-nucleotide long non-coding RNA is filed under the name Homo sapiens (human). RNAcentral describes it as "HSALNT0231053". Lineage: Eukaryota; Metazoa; Chordata; Mammalia; Primates; Hominidae. The record is from RNAcentral.